AACGAACGCUGGCGGCGUGCCUAACACAUGCAAGUCGAACGAGAAAGGGGCUUCGGCUCCGAGUAAAGUGGCGCACGGGUGAGUAACACGUGGGUAACCUGCCUCUAAGAUUGGGAUAACUCGUCGAAAGAUGAGCUAAUACCGAAUAAGACCACAGUUCCCGCGGGAACAGGGGUCAAAGGUAGCCUCUGCUUGCAAGCUAUCACUUAGAGAUGGGCCUGCGCACCAUUAGCUAGUUGGUAGGGUAACGGCCUACCAAGGCAAAGAUGGUUAGCUGGUCUGAGAGGAUGAUCAGCCACACUGGAACGGAGACACGGUCCAGACGCCUACGGGAGGCAGCAGUGGGGAAUAUUGCGCAAUGGGCGAAAGCUUGACGCAGCAACGCCGCGUGAGUGAUGAAGGCCGUCGGGUCGUAAAGCUCUGUCGGGAGGAACGAAUGCUCCUGAGGUUAACAGCCUCGGGAGGUGACGGUACCUUCAAAGGAAGCACCGGCUAACUCUGUG
This 503-nucleotide ribosomal RNA is filed under the name uncultured bacterium. Its description in RNAcentral is "partial 16S ribosomal RNA". It matches the Rfam family "Bacterial small subunit ribosomal RNA", at positions 29 to 507 of the family's 1533-position model. The record is from RNAcentral.